This 289-nucleotide ribosomal RNA is filed under the name uncultured bacterium. RNAcentral's name for it is "partial 16S ribosomal RNA". It matches the Rfam family "Bacterial small subunit ribosomal RNA", at positions 775 to 1067 of the family's 1533-position model. The record is from RNAcentral.
GGAUUAGAUACCCUGGUAGUCCACGCAGUAAACGAUGAUAACUGGGCGUAUGCGAUAUACAGUAUGCUCCUAAGCGAAAGCGUUAAGUUAUCCACCUGGGGAGUACGCCGGCAACGGUGAAACUCAAAGGAAUUGACGGGGGCCCGCACAAGCGGAGGAACAUGUGGUUUAAUUCGAUGAUACGCGAGGAACCUUACCCGGGAUUGAAAUGUAGAUGACCGCUCCUGAAAGGGAGUUUUCCUUCGGGACAUCUAUGUAGGUGCUGCAUGGUUGUCGUCAGCUCGUGCCG